Molecule: transfer RNA, 82 nt
Filed under: Castellaniella defragrans 65Phen
Lineage: Bacteria; Pseudomonadati; Pseudomonadota; Betaproteobacteria; Burkholderiales; Alcaligenaceae
Rfam family: tRNA
About the family: Transfer RNA (tRNA) molecules are approximately 80 nucleotides in length. Their secondary structure includes four short double-helical elements and three loops (D, anti-codon, and T loops).
Source: Rfam by way of RNAcentral
GCCCGAGUGGUGAAAUCGGUAGACACAAGGGACUUAAAAUCCCUCGCCGCAAGGCGUGCCGGUUCGAGUCCGGCCUCGGGCA